CCAAUAGCGUAUAUUAAAGUUGUUGCAGUUAAAAAGCUCGUAGUUGAAUUUCGGGGUCAGCAGGUCGGUCGUGCCAAUGGUAUGUACUGGUCUUGCUGAUUCCUCCCUCUUGACGAACCGUAAUGCCAUUAAUUUGGUGUUGCGGGAAAUCAGGACUGUUACUUUGAAAAAAUUAGAGUGUUUAAAGCAGGCUUAAGCUUGAAUACAUUAGCAUGGAAUAAUGAAAUAGGACGUUCGAUCCUAUUUUGUUGGUUUCUAGGAUUGACGUAAUGAUUAAUAGGGAUAGUUGGGGGCAUUAGUAUUCAAUUGUCAGAGGUGAAAUUCUUGGAUUUAUUGAAGACUAACUACUGCGAAAGCAUUUGCCAAGGAUGUUUUCAUUAAUCAAGAACGAAAGUUAGGGGAUCGAAGACGAUCAGAUACCGUCGUAGUCUUAACCAUAAACUAUGCCGACUAGGGAUCGGAUGAUGUUAAUUUUUUAAUGACUCAUUCGGCGCCUUACG
Molecule: ribosomal RNA, 500 nt
Filed under: uncultured Glomeromycotina
Lineage: Eukaryota; Fungi; Glomeromycota
Description: partial small subunit ribosomal RNA
Rfam family: Eukaryotic small subunit ribosomal RNA
Source: RNAcentral